GGAGGGUGCAAGCGUUGUCCGGAUUUAUUGGGGUUUAAAGGGGUGCGUAGGCGGCCUGUUAAGUCAGUGGUGAAAUCCCAUAGCUCAACUAUGGGAACUGCCAUUGAAACUGCCAGGCUUGAGAACAGUCGAGGUAGGCGGAAUUUAUGGUGUAGCGGUGAAAUGCAUAGAUACCAUAAAGAACACCGAUAGCGAAGGCAGCUUACUAGACUGUAACUGACGCUGAGGCACGAAAGCGUGGGGAGCGAACAGGAUUAGAUACCCUGGUAGUCCACGCUGUAAACGAUGAUCACUCGAUGUAUGCGAUAGACAGUAUGCGUCUUAGCGAAAGCGUUAAGUGAUCCACCUGGGGAGUACGUCGGCAAACGAUG
This 371-nucleotide ribosomal RNA is filed under the name uncultured organism. Its description in RNAcentral is "partial 16S ribosomal RNA". It matches the Rfam family "Bacterial small subunit ribosomal RNA", at positions 527 to 896 of the family's 1533-position model. The record is from RNAcentral.